Molecule: long non-coding RNA, 1123 nt
Organism: Rhea pennata
Lineage: Eukaryota; Metazoa; Chordata; Aves; Rheiformes; Rheidae
Exons: 7
Source: RefSeq, a predicted model, not a curated record
GCAUCUCUCGCGCGCGGCUUAGCUCGUCGGCGGCAACUUCAGCCGGGGAGGUUUCCUCAACUUUCUCCAAAGCUCUCCCACCGCUUAAAAACCAGACAGCCCCGCCGCAGGCUCGCACGGAAAUCUCUUUUCGCAGCUUGAAGAAAGGAGAAGGUCAAAUCAUGAUCGUCAGGAAAACAGGACGGUUGCCCAAGCAUCCGCCUGUGAUCGGGGCCAUAUUGCAUUAUUCAAUGGAUGGUGGAAUACAACUUUGGAUUCUUCAAUGGUGAUUAAUGUGGAACGAACAGUACAACAGAGCUUCUGAGCGUCGUAAUGGUUGGAAUUUGUACGCACGUUAUUGAGCUACUGGAAGAAGUGGAAGAGGCUCUUGCUGAAACUGGAGAAUAUUGUGGACACUGCUGCUUAGAGCUGUUUGGAUUAUAUUUCUUAUCCGACAUUGAGGUCCCGCAGCUAAUAUAAGGAAUUUGACAGAUCUUCUUUUGAUAUGUGAUUGCUGAAGCAUUAUUGCAGGACAGCAGUAAUGACUGAAGAACACCAUUCAGGCUGGAUUCACAUAGCAGAGGAAGGAUUUCCAUUUUUGAAAUACGAAUGUGAAUGUGAUUGAAGGACUUACAUGGAGAAUUCUGAACCUGGUUCCUUCCUGCUCCAGGAAGGAUAGGUAGUCUCUUUAUUUUGCUACAAGAUGCAGGCAGAUCACUUUGCCAGCUGUCAAGGCAAAUAUUGCUGUAUGGUCCUUGGUCUCAGCAACAUAUCUAGCAUCCUGGUGACGGCUGUCUUCAAGGGACUGGACAGAACAAACCUCAUACUGCACCUGCAUUUUGGAUUUUCUGCUCUGUGGAAGUUUGGAGCCGAGCGCUACAGAGGCCAACCCACAUCCUUCGCCCACGCAGCUCUGUGAAGCAGUUAAACACAUCAGUCGGGGAAAACCCUCAGGUCUCGGCGCCGUUGGAGCAGUUCAGUAUGUUUACCCUGCACCCAUUUGUUCAUGACACCAAUUUUCUGCUGGUGACAACCUAUUCCAUGAACAGUAGUUCCACUUAGUCUUAAGUACGGAAAAGAAGAUACUACAUUAGGUGAAAUUAAACUUUAAAAUCUGAACGAAUUGUUCAUUUUAGUCUCUGCU